Gorilla gorilla gorilla (western lowland gorilla) is the source of this 348-nucleotide non-coding RNA. It matches the Rfam family "7SK RNA". Rfam says of the family: 7SK was discovered as an abundant small nuclear RNA in the mid-70s but a possible function has only recently been suggested. Two independent studies have found that 7SK RNA binds the CDK9/cyclin T complex (known as elongation factor P-TEFb). NCBI's taxonomy places the organism in Eukaryota, Metazoa, Chordata, Mammalia, Primates, Hominidae. The record is from Rfam.
UAUGAGGCUGAUCUGGCCUGCUGUAUGUGUGACCCCAUCAAUUGCUGGCUGAUCCGAAGGACUAGCGUCUCCUUCAUCUGGUCUUCAUUGAGCUGUGGACAGCCCUCCAAAAGCUGAAUGCUCUGUCAAGAAGGAUGCCCUUCCCAGAUAGGAAGAGCUGUUCUUUGGUCAAAGGUAUACAGGUGGUAUACUGAUGAUGUGAAGAAACACAACUUUUGGGCUUUUAUGCCGACACUGUUCUAUGAGCUUUUCUUAAUUUCUGGAGUGUGCAAAGCAUUAUCUAGGUCUAUAAACAAGAAUAAUAAAAGGAAACAAUGGGGCUGCCAUUUCCCAGCUCUCUUUUUUUUU